Long non-coding RNA from Choloepus didactylus (southern two-toed sloth), 1652 nucleotides. RefSeq lists it as uncharacterized. The record is from RefSeq and is a predicted model, not a curated record. Lineage: Eukaryota; Metazoa; Chordata; Mammalia; Pilosa; Megalonychidae. The transcript is spliced from 3 exons.
GGAAAACACAGGCUCUCUCCUGAGUUUAGGGUGAGUGGGGCAGCUGACAAAUGGUUGUGGUUUACUGAACAUCUCAAUUCCAGAGAAGUUAUAAAUGCAUUCAACCACGUGUCUCUCCAACAAACAUCCAUGGAGCACCUGCUCUGGCCCAGGUUUUGUUCCAGGCACUCUUGACACAGUCCCUGUCCUUGUGGAGCUCCGUUUGUGUUUACUGUUUACCAUUCAAUAAACAAGUAACAGAUCUGGUCCUGCUACUCCCCAGCUGGAGCAACUGGGCAGGAACUUCACCUCCCCAAGUGUCAUCAGUUUUCUCAUCUGAAAAAUGGGACAUCAAAUUCCUCUUGUAUAGGGCCAUUUGGAGAAGCAAAUAGUGAAGAUUAUAAUAAUAAUGUUGAUAAUUACAAUAAGAUAGCUCACAAUUUCAGAGCGCUCACUUUGUUUCCAGGCCCAUGUUAAAUGAUUUACAUGUCUCAACACAUUGAGUCUUCACAGCAGACUUAUUAGGGAAGGCUGACAAUGGCAGCUCCAUAUUGUUGGUGCCUCGGCUGCCAACUUGAGGCUCUGCCUUCCUCCAAGUUGCCUUGAUGGCUCCAUGUCCACAUUCCAGCCACUAGGAAAAGAAAAAGGGAGGGAAUAUUCCCUCCCUUCAAAGUACAACCUGGAAGUUGUCCACGCAGUUUAGGAUCACAUCCCAUUGGCCAGCAUGUUGUCACGUGACCACAUGUAACUGCAGGGGAGGCUGGGAAAUGUAGUCUCUAUUCUAGGUAGCCCAGAGCUCACCUGUGGGUUCAUUACCAUGGAAGAGGGCAAGGUACUGAGGGACAACGAAAGCAUUUUAUGGAGGGGGAAACUAAGGCCCAGAGUGGUUAAACAGCUCCUCCAAGUUCACACAGAGAGCAAGGAAAUAAAACAAGAGUUUAUAUAUGAAGUGCCUGGCACCCCAUAGAUGCUCAAAGCCUUCUCCCAGACCCUCGUAGCAUGUUGAAUUGUGUCCCCCAGAAAGACCUGUCCAGGAGACCUCAGCCCUGGUGCCUGGAAACGUGACCUUAUUUGGAAAUAGUGUCUUUGCAGAUGUAAUUAAGUAAAGGAUCUUGAGAUAAGAUCAUCUUGGAUUUCGGGUGGGCCUGGAGUCCUUAUAGGAGAAAGGAGAGGGUGAUUGGAGACACAAGGAUGCAGAGAAGAAGGGCACGAGAGGACAGAGAUUGGAGUGACACGUCUGCAAGUCAAGGGCCGCCAAGGAUUGCUGCCUGCCACCAGACGUGAGGAGAGCGGCAUGGAAGGAACCCUUCAGAGCCUCCAGGAGGAAACAACUUGGCCAACACCUUGAUUUCCGUCUUCUGGCCUUCAGAACUGCGAGGGAACACAUCCCUGUUGUCUUAAGCCCCCCAGUUCGUGGUAAUUUGUUAUGGCAGACAUAAGAAUAUGAGACAAACUUCUUCCAUACGUCCUCUUAGUGUCAUCCACUGCAGUUGAUCGGUUUUGAGGGUCCUCUUUAGAGAAGGAUGCUGGAGUUUUCCUGGACCUCCAAGGCUGGUGAGUUUUCUCAGCCCCUGAAACCCAUAUCCGUCAGGCCAUCUAGGUGAGAUCCCAAAAUAACCCAAAGUCUUCCCAGAUAACUUCUCAAGCAAAGAUCCAAUAGCCCCAUUCCCUCC